Molecule: ribosomal RNA, 475 nt
Filed under: uncultured bacterium
Lineage: Bacteria
Description: bacterial SSU rRNA
Rfam family: Bacterial small subunit ribosomal RNA
Source: RNAcentral
GAUGAACGCUGGCGGCGUGCUUAACACAUGCAAGUCGAACGAAGCACUUUAUUUGAUUUCCUUCGGGACUGAUUAUUUUGUGACUGAGUGGCGGACGGGUGAGUAACGCGUGGGUAACCUGCCUUGUACAGGGGGGAUAACAGUUGGAAACGGCUGCUAAUACCGCAUAAGCGCACAGCAUCGCAUGAUGCAGUGUGAAAAACUCCGGUGGUAUAAGAUGGACCCGCGUUGGAUUAGCUAGUUGGUGAGGUAACGGCCCACCAAGGCGACGAUCCAUAGCCGACCUGAGAGGGUGACCGGCCACAUUGGGACUGAGACACGGCCCAAACUCCUACGGGAGGCAGCAGUGGGGAAUAUUGCACAAUGGGCGAAAGCCUGAUGCAGCGACGCCGCGUGAGCGAAGAAGUAUUUCGGUAUGUAAAGCUCUAUCAGCAGGGAAGAUAAUGACGGUACCUGACUAAGAAGCACCGGCUAA